Long non-coding RNA from Lagopus leucura (white-tailed ptarmigan), 2577 nucleotides. RefSeq lists it as uncharacterized. The transcript is spliced from 7 exons. Lineage: Eukaryota; Metazoa; Chordata; Aves; Galliformes; Phasianidae. The record is from RefSeq and is a predicted model, not a curated record.
UGGAGGUGCCCUCGGGGGCUGCUGGGUGAUCGCUGCCCGCCUGCGCCGGCAGCCGUAAGGCGUUAGGGUCGGAAUUCGCCCCUUCGUUAGUGAAAAGUGAAAAGCGGGGCGGCCCUUCGUUACGUUUAGUUGUUGAUUACCUAUUCUCACGCCGACACACAGAGCGACGGGAGAGAGGUAUUCUGACAUGAGGUUAGAGCGUCUGUGAAGAAGUCAGUGGCCCUUUUACUUCGUCAUAGGAUUGUGUGCUUCGUGAAUCACCAGAUGAACGCUUUAACCGUUGAGGCUUGCAUUUGUUGCUAGACAGUGAGAGCAGAAUAAAAGAAGCUUUAUGGAAAUGCAUAUUUUUAAAAAUCUUUAGCCUGAGAUGCGCCUUCCUCUAUGGGAAUGCUGCUGUCAUUGAGCAGUAGUUGUCCUGGAAGAGCAGGAAUUGUAAGCAAAAGAGAGAAGUAGGCUUAUCUGAGAGCAGCGAUUAGAAGGUGGCUGUAUUCAUGUAAGAGGCAAUCGCUCUGCCUUGUGAUGGCUCAUCUAAUGAUAUCCCGAGUCAGGUGUUAGAUUACUGAGCAGUGAAAUUCUUGUAUCUUUACUAGCUGUUAGUACACCGUGGUUAUUGGGUGCAAUAAGUAUACUUUAAUUGCUUUCAUCUGAAGCGAAGCCAAGUUUAGUGAUCUAUCCACAGUCUGCAGCCUUUGUUUGUUUCAUCUGCAGGUGUGCAGUAAUAAACAUCUUCGUUGAAAAAUGGAAUGUAUUUGAAAUGUAUGAAGCAGAAACUUUCAGUGGUGUCCAAUAUGUUGUGCAGAAGCAUUAAGCCCGCCAUGGAAGCACCAUUGGAACUAGAAGAGUAUUUGGUACACACAAGUGGAUUUUCCUGAAAGCUGUGAUGGCAUAUGAACAGGUUUUAAUAAUGGAAAAGUUGAGCAUUGUGGUGAAAGAUAUUCUGCAACUAUUCUGCAAGAGAUAGAGGGAUGCUUGAAGGUUGCUUCUUGAAGCAGGAAAACGGUCACAACUGUACGAACAAAUGCUUCUAAUUUGUUCAGUGAGUUGGAACGUUUUUGUCAGUGCUGCUUGACAAAUGUGGAUCUGUAACUGGAAGAAAGUGUAACACCUGGAGAGAUGUUCUCGCUUGGAUUGGGACCAUGCUUUUAAAAUCCUGCUGAAACAGUUGUUGAAAUUGUUUAGCAGACACUGUUAUAAAAAACUGCACGUGAACCAAAAUUACUGUCUCUGCAUAUUUAAAAUAACACUUUUUCCAAAACAUCAAACUGCCCUCUUUGGGAAGGAUAAACGUAGCAGUAGGGAAAUAAGUGGUGAGCUUCCAUAUAUGAAAAAGAAACAAAUUAUUGGCUCUUAUGAAAUGUAAAGGUAUGCAGACUUUUUGAUACUGAGCACCUGUAAUUCAAAGCAAUGGAAGUUGCAAGUAGACUGUGCAGCAUUGAUACAUAAAUUCAAAUUGCUGAGUGCUUCUUGAAGAUGUCAUGUAGGAGACGGAAGGAAGUAGAUAAGGUGGUGUGGAAGCAUCAGCAUGAACCACUUGUAAAAAGAAACACUUGAAAUUUCAGGUGGUGUGAGGGAAGUUGUGGUUACAGAAAAACCAUGGACUAAAGCUUUCAUUUUCUUCUGCUUCUAGUCGGGGUGAGAAGGAAAGGGGAGUUUUCAUGAGCUGCCAAUUUAGCAUGAAAAAACCAGUAUUGGAACUGGAACUGUGCCCACCGAAGAAGACAUUGGCAGUGUUAUCUGUUCCCAGCGUGGGAGUAUAAGCAUUGGAACAUUUGCUUGCAGCAGUCACUAACCACACAGUAACAUGUUAACAUUGUAUUUGUUGUAUUAAGCAGAUCAUCUCUUUUCCACCAAGGAAGAAAGGGACUGUAAGUUGAUUAACUGAGUAAGUUGCCUUUAAAGACAAAUUAUGCACAGAAGAUGCAAUCUACCUUAAGGUGUGGCUCUUGUACUGCAUUCUCAGGAAUGCAUUAUAAAGGAGGGAAUGUGACAACUGCGUGGUAGCCAAUGAUCAGAAGUGCUGUGGUUACUGAAUGAUUUUUGGAAUGUACCAAAAUACAGAAACAAUCAUGUAGUUUGCAGCCAAAAAUGACAGCAUUGGAGGCUAGCAGUUUACUUCCUUCAGGAAAUCUAAAAGAACUUCAUGAAAUACACUUAUUUCUAAACACCAAAUACCUGGAAGGUCCAUUUUUCUAUCAGUGCACUAUUAUAGUAGUGCAGAACAUGAAGUAGCAGCAUCUGAAGCGUUGGGAAGAUCAGAAAUAAGUUUGACUACAAAAAUGUACAUUAAUGGUGUGACUGAAGUCCAGGAGUGGCUUGGCUUACUGCAUAACCUGCUUUGGUUAUUCAGUAAGUAAUAACCAGCUGCUUUGCCUGGUUGGAGACUGCUUCUCAGUGAGGUAGCUAUGUAAAUUGGUCUAUUGAGUGUAUCAUCAGAAGCUGCAGAAUUUUACUACAAAAAAACAUCUCUUGAUGGCUUUCGUCAGGAUUCAUUAUCUAUUAAUGUUGCUGAGAAGGGUAGGUAUUUCUGUACUGUUUUGUAUAUGCUCUUGAAUAAAGAUGAGGAUGUGGAAAACUUAA